GUAGUGUUCUAGCGGCGGACGGGUGAGUAACGCGUGAGCAACCUGUCCCUUACAGGGGAUAACACAGCGAAAGUUGUACUAAUACCGCAUGAGACCACGGAGUCACAUGGCUCAGGGGUCAAAGGAGCAAUCCGGUAAGGGGUGGGCUCGCGUCCGAUUAGAUAGUUGGUGAGGUAACGGCCCACCAAGUCGACGAUCGGUAGCCGACCUGAGAGGGUGAUCGGCCACAUUGGGACUGAGACACGGCCCAAACUCCUACGGGAGGCAGCAGUGGGGAAUAUUGGGCAAUGGGGGAAACCCUGAACCCCCAGCAACGCCGCGUGAGGGAAGAAGGUUUUCGGAUCGUAAACCUCUGUCCUAUGUGAAGAGAAAGAGACGGCAGCAUAGGAGGAAGCCCCGGCUAACUACGUGCCAGCCGCCGC
RNAcentral lists this ribosomal RNA (422 nucleotides) under uncultured bacterium. RNAcentral describes it as "bacterial SSU rRNA". It matches the Rfam family "Bacterial small subunit ribosomal RNA", at positions 84 to 518 of the family's 1533-position model. The record is from RNAcentral.